Long non-coding RNA from Thalassophryne amazonica, 445 nucleotides. RefSeq lists it as uncharacterized. NCBI's taxonomy places the organism in Eukaryota, Metazoa, Chordata, Actinopteri, Batrachoidiformes, Batrachoididae. The record is from RefSeq and is a predicted model, not a curated record. The transcript has 2 exons.
CAAGCAAAGAAGGGACACAGGUCAAAAGCAAGGACAGAAUGUGACAAGUGUAGCAGGUGAGGGGGGGUGGGGGGAGCAGACAAAAAGAGGAAUACACAGGUAAAUGAGAGCAGAAAAUGAAAGAGAGACAGCGAAAUGGUAGAAUUACAAAUGUGAAUGGAGCAACAACAGGAGAAAGAAGGAAGAAUAUAUAAAACAGGCAGAGAGAGAGACAAGAGAGAGAGAGAAAGCAAGACAGUUACAUGCUAUUAGAAUUACUUCAGAUUACCACAAUUUUGUUAUUUCAAAUUUGUUGCUCAACCAACAGGUGCAAAGUUCAUGCACGAUCUGAUUUUUUUAAUGCUUGUGCGUUAAUGAAAAGUCAACAUCAGUCUCUACUAUGAUUAAAUGCUGCUUUGCUGUAAAACAUCAUGCCUGCGUUGUAUUACACAGCAUGCAAAAAUAA